UGCAUACAGGAGAAGCACAAGUGUCU
RNAcentral lists this non-coding RNA (26 nucleotides) under Rattus norvegicus (Norway rat). Lineage: Eukaryota; Metazoa; Chordata; Mammalia; Rodentia; Muridae. The record is from RNAcentral.